Molecule: ribosomal RNA, 559 nt
Filed under: uncultured bacterium
Lineage: Bacteria
Description: partial 16S ribosomal RNA
Rfam family: Bacterial small subunit ribosomal RNA
Source: RNAcentral
UACGGGAGGCAGCAGUGGGGAAUAUUGCACAAUGGGGGAAACCCUGAUGCAGCGACGCCGCGUGGAGGAAGAAGGUCUUCGGAUUGUAAACUCCUGUUGUUGGGGAAGAUAAUGACGGUACCCNACAAGGAAGUGACGGCUAANUACGUGCCAGCAGCCGCGGUAANACGUAGGUCNCAAGCGUUGUCCGGAAUUACUGGGUGUAAAGGGAGCGCAGGCGGGAAGACAAGUUGGAAGUGAAAUCUAUGGGCUCAACCCNUAAACUGCUUUCNAAACUGUUUUUCUUGAGUAGUGCAGAGGUAGGCGGAAUUCCCGGUGUAGCGGUGGAAUGCGUAGAUAUNGGGAGGAACACCAGUGGCGAAGGCGGCNUACUGGGCACCAACUGACGCUGAGGCUCGAAAGUGUGGGUAGCAAACAGGAUUAGAUACCCUGGUAGUCCACACUGUAAACGAUGAUUACUAGGUGUUGGGGGAUUGACCCCCUCAGUGCCGCAGUUAACACAAUAAGUAAUCCACCUGGGGAGUACGANCGCNNGGUUGAAACUCANAGGAAUUGACGG